This 904-nucleotide ribosomal RNA is filed under the name uncultured bacterium. RNAcentral describes it as "bacterial SSU rRNA". It matches the Rfam family "Bacterial small subunit ribosomal RNA", at positions 8 to 916 of the family's 1533-position model. The record is from RNAcentral.
AGAGUUUGAUCCUGGCUCAGGAUGAACGCUGGCGGCGUGCUUAAUACAUGCAAGUCGAGCGAGGACCACUUGGUGGCAACACCGGGUGGCUCCUAGCGGCGAACGGGUGAGUAACACGUGGGCAACCUGCCCCCGACUCUGGGAUAAGCCCGGGAAACUGGGUCUAAUACCGGAUACGAGCCUCCUCCGCAUGGUGGAGGUUGGAAAGGGUCUCCGGUCGGGGAUGGGCCCGCGGCCUAUCAGCUUGUUGGUGGGGUAACGGCCCACCAAGGCGACGACGGGUAGCCGGCCUGAGAGGGUGAACGGCCACACUGGGACUGAGACACGGCCCAGACUCCUACGGGAGGCAGCAGUAGGGAAUCUUGCGCAAUGGGCGAAAGCCUGACGCAGCGACGCCGCGUGCGGGACGAAGGCCCUCGGGUUGUAAACCGCUUUCAGCAGGGACGAAGCGAAAGUGACGGUACCUGCAGAAGAAGGUCCGGCCAACUACGUGCCAGCAGCCGCGGUAAUACGUAGGGACCGAGCGUUGUCCGGAUUCAUUGGGCGUAAAGAGCUCGUAGGCGGCCACUCAAGUCGAAUGUGAAACCUCGAGGCUCAACCUCGAGCCUGCAUUCGAUACUGGGCGGCUAGAGUCUGGUAGGGGGAUCUGGAAUUCCUGGUGUAGCGGUGGAAUGCGCAGAUAUCAGGAGGAACACCGGUGGCGAAGGCGGGAUCCUGGGCCAGUACUGACGCUGAGGAGCGAAAGCGUGGGGAGCAAACAGGAUUAGAUACCCUGGUAGUCCACGCCGUAAACGAUGGGCGCUAGGUGUGGGAGGUCAUCGACUCCUUCCGUGCCGCAGCUAACGCAUUAAGCGCCCCGCCUGGGGAGUACGGCCGCAAGGCUAAAACUCAAAGGAAUUGACGG